RNAcentral lists this ribosomal RNA (547 nucleotides) under uncultured bacterium. Its description in RNAcentral is "bacterial SSU rRNA". It matches the Rfam family "Bacterial small subunit ribosomal RNA", at positions 936 to 1482 of the family's 1533-position model. The record is from RNAcentral.
AGCAUGUGGUUUAAUUCGAUGCAACGCGAAGAACCUUACCUACUCUUGACAUCCAGAGAAUUCGCUAGAGAUAGCUUAGUGCCUUCGGGAACUCUGAGACAGGUGCUGCAUGGCUGUCGUCAGCUCGUGUUGUGAAAUGUUGGGUUAAGUCCCGCAACGAGCGCAACCCUUAUCCUUUGUUGCCAGCACGUAAUGGUGGGAACUCAAAGGAGACUGCCGGUGAUAAACCGGAGGAAGGUGGGGAUGACGUCAAGUCAUCAUGGCCCUUACGAGUAGGGCUACACACGUGCUACAAUGGCGUAUACAAAGAGAAGCGAACUCGCGAGAGCAAGCGGACCUCAUAAAGUACGUCGUAGUCCGGAUCGGAGUCUGCAACUCGACUCCGUGAAGUCGGAAUCGCUAGUAAUCGUAGAUCAGAAUGCUACGGUGAAUACGUUCCCGGGCCUUGUACACACCGCCCGUCACACCAUGGGAGUGGGUUGCAAAAGAAGUAGGUAGCUUAACCUUCGGGAGGGCGCUUACCACUUUGUGAUUCAUGACUGGGGUG